This 19757-nucleotide long non-coding RNA is filed under the name Gossypium barbadense (sea-island cotton). RNAcentral's name for it is "long non-coding RNA (GBAR_LNC017242)". The record is from RNAcentral. Lineage: Eukaryota; Viridiplantae; Streptophyta; Magnoliopsida; Malvales; Malvaceae.
GAAAUGGAUACACUUCAAUUUGUUUCCUGUUGCUUUCUUUAGCAUUCUCACGAUGCAGCUAUGAAAUGUGAAGGAAUUUUAUUUUUGCGUCAUCCUUGUUGGUGCUACUGUUCUUGGUGAAACACAAUGGCCGGAGACCUUCAAGUCAGCAAAAGAAAAGGAGAUAUGGUAUGAUUAUAUUGGUAAUACAUAUUGUUUCAUCCAUAAAUUGUUAUUAAAUAAUUUUAGUUUCGAUUUUGAUAAACCUUUUAUGUGUUUUGAUCAUUUUCAUCAAUAUCAACCUAUAUUGAUGUAUACCGACUUAUUCCCACAAGAUUUUUAUAUUAAAUAAUUUUUAACUUUUUGUCUUAAACUUCUUUUUGCAAUAAAAUAUAAUCAUUAAAUUAUGUUAUUUAAUCUAAUUAAUAAUUUUAUAUUUUAUAUUUAUACAUAAACAUAUUUUUAUGUAUGUGAUUGAAGUAUAUUUAUAUGUAAUCAAUAUAUUUUUAUUAAGAAAUUAGACUAUAUAUAUGAAAAUAUAUAUAUUUAAAAACCAAUAAACUUGAAAAUAACAUUGUUGACCUAAAAUAGUUGCUAAGUCUCCAAGUUGUUAAAUAAGUAAGUAACAAAGGAAGGGUAGAAGUGCAACACCUCAAACCCAGACUAAACGUUAUGGUCAGAUAUGGAGAAGUUACCAUGAUUCACUUUGAAAUUCACUUUGAAAAUCUAGAAAUCAUUUGGCCUUGUGGAAAAUUGCAAGCUUUUGAUAACACAAUUCCAGUUUAUCUUAAAUGACAAUAUCUUCCUUACUUAAUUCGUUAAUUCUAUCGAUAAACACAUAUUUAUAAAAACACUGAUAAUUGCAGCAGAACUCUUAGCUAAAUUCAAUUUGAAAAUCGCAGUUUGAAUUUUGAAAAUCCAAUGUUUUGCUAAUAGUGUUGUUAAAAUUUUAAAAACGAUUAAACGGUUUAAAACAGAAAAUUUAAAGUUCAAAACAAAAACAGUUCCAAAUGUUCGAAACAGUCCAACAGAACAAAAACAAAAUAAACCAAGUUUUUAAAUAGCACAAAUUAUCUGUGUUUAACCGAGCUCCUAUCGCAUCGACCCGUCCUAUAUUUGAGAGUUACUUGAGAGUCAAACAAACAGAGAAUGAGCUUAUAAGCUCAAUGUGUAACUUAUAAUAAUAACAACAGAUACAAUUUCAGACAUGCGUUCGAAUUUCAAAUAGACAUAUUUCACAAAAAAGAAACAGAAUCAUAACAUAUCAUAAACAUAUUUUAAAUCCUACACCCAUUCGCUACACACCAUCUCUGACUAUCCCUACACACCAUAUAGGAUAUUAAACACCCAUCCAGCCCUACACAUCGCUAAGUGACUGUAUGUCACUUUUUAGAAUAUUUGCAGCCUAGCUGCCAGAUCAUUAGGCGAUAAUUCGCUAGAAACAGAUAUAUAUGUGGUUGAGUAACCAAAUAUGACAAAUAGAUUAAACUGCCCACACUUCCUCCAUAAACAUAUUUCUCACCCCAAUGCACAUGCAGAACUAAAAUGUAUAUGACAUACAUGCUUUAUAUACCAAAUUCAGAUCAUGCUUAGCAAAUAACAUAUCAUACUUAAAAUAAUACAGAUCAUAGUUACCAUAAUACAGAUCAUACUUAGCUUAUAACUUAUUAACCAUGCGUACAUAAAUCGUAUUUAAUGUUAACAGAACAUCAGAGAUAAUGAUUUAUAGCCUAAUUUGUGUCAUACGAACCCUACGAAAGGCCUACGUUCGACUCGUAUGACGAAUACUUCCCUGGGAAAAAUUUUAGAAUUUGGGCCCACACACUCGUGUCACCCAUGCAGCCUACUUGGCCAGUGUGUGUGGGCCACACAACCUAACACACGAUCUCACACACAUCCAUGUGGCCCACACAGCCCAAUUGGCCCAGACCAUGCAUACGGUCUAGCACACAGUCUGUCAUACGACCAUGUGGUACACAUGGCCUGGCACACAAUAGUGUGGCGUUGACAGUCUAUUUUUUGGCUUUCAGACGUUCACGAGUUUUCAGUUUUUCGUUGCACACUUGAUCAAUUUUCGAUGUAGACCCAAAGACGAAUACUCCAAUACCUAAAAUGACCAUUUAUACAAAUUAAUUAACUUAGUUUUACAAAAAACAAACGCUAAAUCAUGACCCAAAAACAUCAAUUAAACUUCAAUACAGAAAACUCAACCUUAAAUAGUGACGAAUACAGUCACUUACCCUUAAGAACAGCAACCCACAAUAAUUAAGUCGCUGAAGGAACACCAAACAUCUCACAAUUCUCCCUUAAUUGAACAUUAAAAUGACUAAUUCCAUAACCCAAAAAUUAACACAUUCAUUCUUACCAACCAUGUAAAAACACAUCAAAAUGAAAACUCAAGACGAAAAUUAACCAAACUUACCGACAAGCAGUGACAAUAACGAGAGGAUAAUCAAUAAACCAAGACCAAAUCAUAAAUAAGUGUAAAGAAAGGAAAGAAGGGAAAAGCUCAAAAGAAAAGAAGAAAAAUAUGAGCGUGACUUGAGAGAAAACAGAAAAACAAAACAAAACAAAACAAAAUGGUAGGAGUGGAGAGAUGUGGGAGCAAAAAUUUGGGGAGAACUUAGGGGAAAAUCAAAUUAAUUUUAAAACAACCCAAAUCUAAUCCUACUAACCACUAAUUAGAUUUCUGGUAACUAACUAUAUUAUCAAGAGUUUGAAAUUGACCCAAAAUCAUCCACCUAGGUGACUCAAUCAGAAAUAACAAAAAUAUUGACAAUUUGCUCACCCAGAGAUUCAAUCUCAUGACCAUAUGAUAAGUUAACACCUUACCCCUGAACUAGUAGGCUCAUUUUGUCACAAGUUGAACGAAAAUAACUUUUAAGCCAAGUAAACAAGGAUAGGGCUAGGAGUAAAAAUAACUGAAUUUUCCCAGAAGAGAGAUUUGAACCCAUGACCUCAAGCACACAUUCAAAGCCCUUAUCUACUGAAGCAUACACUUAAUUAUGAUAGGAUUUAACAAAUCAAAAAUUCAAAUUUCUGAGGCAUUACAACUCUCCCCCUAAAAGAAAUUUUAGCAUCGAAAUUUUACCUGAUUCAAAUAGAUACGGGUAUUGCUGUCGUAUCAAGUCCUCAAGUUCCUAAGUGGUUUUCUUAGUGCCAUGAUUCCGCCAUAAAAACUUAACCAAAGGAAUGGUCUUCCUCCUCAAGACCUUAAUAUCACGAUCCAGAAUCUGAACCGGCUCCUUCUCAAAGGCCAAAUCUAGUCUUACCUCAAUCUCCCCAACUGAUACAAUAUGAUAUGAGUCAGACCGAUACCGUCUUAACAUAGAGACGUGGAACACAUCGUGAAUAUGAUCUAACUUCGGAGGUAGCUCUAACUGAUAGACGACUGAUCCAACAUGUUUUAGAAUCUGAUAAUGCCUAAUGAACCUAGGGCUCAACUUGCCCUUACGUCUAAAUUGAAGACCUUUAUUCCAUGGAAAUACCUUAAAACAAACUUGGUCACCCGCAGAAAACUUGAUAUCUCUCAUCUUGAGAUCUAAAUAUGACUUCUAUCUAUCAGAAGCUGCCUUAAGACGAUCUGAAUCAGUCGAACCUUGUUCAUAGUAUCAUAAACCAACUCAAGACCCAAAAUUCACCUCUCACCCAACUCAGUCCAACACAAAAGAUACAACACUUACGACCGUAUGGAGCCUCGUAAGGUGCCAUUUAAAUACUGAACUAAAAUCUGUUAUUAUAAGUGAAUUCAGCCAGUAGCAGAAACUCCUCCCAACUAUCACGAAAGUCAAUUACACAAGAUCGUAGCAUAUCCUCCAUAAUCUGAAUCACUCUCUCAGAUUGCCCAUUAGUCUUAGGAUGGAACACAGUACUAAAGUCCAACCAAGUACCCAAAGCCUCAUGAAGUUUUUUCCAAAACUGAGAAGUGAAACAAGAGUCUCUAUUAGAUAUAAUCGAGAUAGGAACCCCAUGAAGUCUAACGAUAUCGAAAAUGUACAGUUUAGCCAAUCUUUGUAGAAAAUAACCAGUCUUGAUUGUAAUAAAAUAAGCAAACUUGGUCAAACGAUCCACAAUGACCCAUAUAGAAUCCUUCUUAGUAGGUGUUAAGGGCAACCCAUUAACGAAGUCCAUAGUCACAUGCUCCCAUUUCCAAAGGAGAAUCUUAACGAGUUGAAGCAAACCCGAUGGCAGUUGGUGCUCAGCCUUAACUUACUGGCACGUAAGAUAAUUAUAGAUGAAAUCAAUUACCUCCCAUUUCAAACCAAGUCACCAGUAUAACUCUUACAGAUCCUGAUACAUCUUAUUUCCACCAUGAUGCAUAGCGUAUGACCUACUAUGCACUUUUCACAAAAUAGAAUGCAUUAACUUAGCACCGUUAGGCACACAAACCCGUCUUCUAAAACACAAAACCUCAUCACCAUUCAACCCAAAAUCAAAAGUCCUACAUUUUUCAACCUGUCAAAAUCGUAGAAUAAUAGAACCAUCCACUGACUAUUUAAUCCAAAUCCGAUCAAUCCAAGUCAGCUUAACUUGCAAGUUAGCUAACAAAUUACCAUCAUCAAACAAACUUAGGCGAGCAAACGUUGCUCUCAAAUUGAUCAUUGAUUUACAACUAAGAGUAUCGGCCACAACGUUGGUCUUACUAGGUUGAUACUCAAUAGUGUAGUCGUAGUCCUUAAGCAACUCAAUCCAUCUACGUUGCUUAAGAUUCAACUCCUUCUAAAUAAAAAGAUACUUAAGGCUCUUUUGAUCAGUGUAAAUGAUACACCUCUCACCAUACAGAUAGUGCCUAUAGAUUUUUAAAGUGAAAACAACCGCAGCCAACUCAAGAUCGUGUAUGAGAUAGUUGCCUCCAUGUGACUUAAGCUGUCAAGAUGUUUAAGCCACUACCUUACGAUCUUACAUUAGAGCACAAACCAACCAGAUGUGAGAAACAUCCUUGUAAACCACAAAUUCUUUACUACAUUUAGGCUAUAUCAAAACGAAUGUAUGAGUCAGAACGGGCUUAAGCUUUUCAAAGCUCAAUUACUGCUCAUUGGCCUACAAAAAAGGUAUGUUUUUACGCAACAACUUAGUUAAAAAACCUGCGAUAAGCGAAAACCCCUCAACAAAUCUUCAAUAAUGCCUCACUAAACCGAGAAAGCUUCAAAUCUUAGACACAUUCCUAAGCUAUUUCCAUUCAACCACAACUUCAAUCUUUUUAGGGUCGACUCAAAUUCCCUCAGCAGAAGUCACAUGUCCUAGAAAAGUAACCUUUCUUAACCAGAACUCACAUUUGUUCAACUUAGCUUAGAGUGUUUCUCACAGAGUAUCUGCAAAACUACUCUAUGAUGUUCAUCAUGGUCAUCCUCUGUCUUAGAGUAUACCAGAAUAUCGUCAAUAAAAAUCACGAUGAAAUGAUCCAAAUACGGUUAGAAAACUCAAUUCAUAAUAUCCGUAGAUGCAGCCGGAGUAUUCGUCAAACCGAAUUGCAUGACUAGGAACUCGUAGUGCCCAUAACGAGUCCUAAAGGAAAUUUUAUGUACAUCAGCCUCUUUAACCUUUAGUUAAUGGUACCCAAAAUGAAGAUCAAUCUUUGAUAAUACAAAGGCCCCACGAAAUUGAUCGAACAAGUCAUCAAUCCUCAGAAGUGGGUACUUAUUCUUUACCGUCAAUUUAUUCAAUCGGUGGUAAUCCAUACACCUUAGAGUACCACCUUUCUUUUUAAUGAAAAGAACUGAUGCUCCCCACACGGACACACUAAGUCUGAUCAACCCUCGACCAAAAAGUUCCUAAAGCUGAGCUUUCAAUUCCAUAAGUUCUUUCGGUGUAACAGCCCAUUUUUAAUAAAAUUAGAAUAGUGGUUUCGAGACCAUAAAUAUGAUGUGAGAAUAAUUAUUUUAUUCUAAUUUUAGUGUCUACAGUAUGUUAGAAAGUUUGUAUAAAAAUUUUGUUAAGAAAUUUUAUCGUUUUUAUGUUUAAUUUGAUGAAAAGGACUAAAUCGUAAAAUAUGCAAAAUUAGAGUUUUUAAGUUAAAGGUACUAAAUGGCUAUGAAAUUAAAUGGUUAAGGGAUUUAUGUGGUAAUUAUACCAUUUUUAGUAUGAGUGGACAAAUAUGGACAUUAGAUAGGUGUUUUUAUAUGUUAAUAAUAUGGUUAAAUAAGUAAUUUAAUAAUAAAUGUUAGUAAAUUAAUGAAAAACCAAAGCUACCAUCUUUGUUUUUCAUCUUCCACUGAAAAUUGACCUAAGAAAACACUAUUUUUAACAUCUCAAGCAUUCGACCAUCUCUCCCUAUUGCAUGUAAGUAUUUUUCAUUCUGUUUUUAAUGAUUUUUAUGUUUUUGAAGUCGUUGUAGCUUAAUCUAGCUAGCCCAUGGACUAAUUUGCAAAAUUGUUAAAAGGUUAGCAUUUUGCUAUGAAUAUAUUCAUGUGGUUUUUGAUGUUUGAUGAAAGAAAAUAAAUCUUUGUUGAUAGAUAAACAACUUUUGUAAAGUGAAUUUUGUUGAAAAUAUCAAAUAGGGAUUUAUUUGUCAAAUGUGUGAAGUACAUGGUGAAAAUUAUGAAAUAAUGAAUCCCAUUUUAAGAGCUUAAGGACUAAAAUGUAAAGAAGUUAAAAUGUUAGGGGUAAAAUUAUAAUUAUGUAAAAAAUGUGUUUUUGUGGAUCGAAUUGAAUAAUUGAGAUUUAUUGAAACAUUUAAUUGAAAAUACUUAUUUAUUUAGAUCAAGAUAUAUCUCAGCCAGUUAUAAACCGAGGUAAAGCGAAAGUCAUGGAUUAGCUCGAUCGUACUCUUAUGCGUUAGUUGGCAAUGUAAGUUCAUAGUAUUUAGAUGUAUAAUUGAAUUUCCCUAUAUAUAUUUUCAUCUUAUAACCAUUUAAUAAAAUACUUACGUUAAUUUUACCUGAUUGUACAUACGUGCCCCUAUUUGAACUUCGGUACCCCUGAUUGCACAUACAUGCCCCUGUUUGAACUUCGGUACUCCUGAUUGCACAUACGUGCCUCUGUUUGUACUUCGGUACCCCUGAUUGCACAUACGUGCCCCUGUUUGUAUUUUAGUACCCCUGAUUGCACAUACGUGCCCCUGUUUAUACUUCGAUAAUUUCAAUCGAGUAAAAUAAAAGUUGAAUUCAAUUGAUGAUAAGUUAAAAGAUUUAAUAUGUUCUUACUAAGCUCUGAAAGCUUAUAUGUUUUUGUGUAUUAUUUUGCAUAUCAUUAUCACUGACUUUAGGACAGAUCGAAUCUACGGCUCGCACUAUCCAUCGAUGUUGGUAGUUCUUUUUCUCUUUAGGGUUGUGGCAUGUAUAUGUGGCUAUAUAUGUUGUUUUGGUAUAAUAUGGGGAAUUACUAAACUAGGUGAUUAGGUACUUGUCUAAGUUUGUGAAUAGGUAUUUGUUGAUACAAAUAAAAUGUUAUGAAAGUAAACACUUACGGAUUGUUUUGGUUUUGUUGAUGAAUUAAGUUGAUAUGUUUGGUUUAUAAAUAUUGUAUAUUGGUUGGUGUGCUUUUGGCAUUUUCUAAGUUUAUUGAAGAAUUAAGCUCCUCAUCGAACAUCACAGGAAAAACACACUCAUCAUAGUCUAAACAAUUCUUGGCAGUUAUGUGUGGUAUGACAAAAUGAAUGGAAAAUGAAUAAAAAUACUAAACACGAAUGAUCAACUAAAUAUCUAAUGCAGUUUAGAUGCACAAUACACCCCCAAACCAAAGGGAUGCAUUGUCUUCAAUGCAUGUACAAAUAUGAAUCAUGAAUGCAAGAACAUAUAUAUGUACAUAAUGAGCUGUAAUAAAGGGAUAAAAACUUCCCGAGCUUGGAACUGAAUGGUAAUACUUUAAUUGCCAUGAGUGGUCUUUCGUGCACUUAUCUUAUAAUGCAUCGGCCUUUUAAGUAAAUUAAGUAGUACAUCCUCCUAUUCAUUAUCAAAUUUGGUGAGCUCAUCAAUAACCCGAUCGAUCUCACGAUCUUGUUCAGUCAUCAGUUCAGUAGAAGGAGGUGGAACAGUCGCAAUGCUGUCCACUGGUGGUGCAAUUAAGGGAUUUGCUUCAUCUUCUUCCUCACGGUCAGUCUCAAUGUUGACAGACUUUGUUUUCUCUGGUUCUUCCUCUGGUGCUUUGGGUACAUUCUCUUCAUUAGCAAGAUUCAUCUCAACAGGCCCUGUGUCACUAACCCUUUCCCCUCUUGCAGUUUAUUAAACAAAGGAAAUGAAAUAACUAAGAGAAAAAUAAAUCGAUAAAAUGAAAUAAAAAUAAAAAAAGAAUUUUCAAGAUGUUGAAGUUAAACAUAUUGAAUAUCAAUGGACUGUUUGUCUCGCUCACCCUAGUAAUGCUUCAAGCGUUGUCCAUUAACUGUAAAUGUGUCCUCCGUUUUCAUGUCAUUGACAUCAACAGUUCCAUACGGAUAUACAUGAGCUACCAAGCAUUGCUCAUCAAAAUUGAAAGAUCUAUUUUGCUCCAGCAAAGUGCACAAUGGUCUCCGCUCAAAUGAAUCUUCAUCACUAUCAGAAUUGCUAUGGCAAAAUCUCGUGAACUCUUCGCCCAUUGUUGCUCCUAUGAAGCCAUUGGCACGAUAUUGUUCAUUCUCAUCAGCAUAUUUCAGUACAUUAAAUACAUUGAAUGUGACAUGCUGAUCAGUCAUCCUCAUAGUCAAUUCACCUUUCUAUACAUAAAUUAAAGUGAUACCUGUAGCAAGAAAAUGUCUUCCAAGAAUAAUUGACAUAUAUUUGUCAACUUCACAAUCUAAAAUAAGGAAAUCUACCGAAAAAAUAAACUUAUCUACACUUACUAGUACAUCUUAAAUUUUACCUUACGAAUGUGCGUAGGAUCGAUUAGCCAGUUGCAACGUAACCGUAGUAGGUCUUGCCUUCCCAAUUCCCAACUUCUUAAAAAUAGACAGUGGCAUUAGAUUUAUACUCGCUCCUAAAUCACAUAAUGACUUACCAACAAAACAAUUUCCAAUUGAACAUGGGAUAGUGAAACUCCCUAGGUCAUUCAAGUUUGAAGGUAACUUAUUCAUCAACAUUGCUGCGCACCCUUCAGUGAUAGCAAUAGUCUCAAAUUCUCCCAAUUUGUUCUUCUUUGAUAGUAUAUCUUUCAUAAAUUUCACAUAAUCGGGCAUCUGGUCCAAAGCUUCUACUAGCAAUAUGUUGAUGUGAAGUUACAUCAAGACAUCCAAGAAUUUUUUUGAACUGAAAACCUUGCUUAGAUUUUUGAAAUCGUUGAGGAAAAGGUAGAGGUGGUCAUCUUCAGAUUGCUAAUAUUGAUUUUUCUGUGGCAUUUAUGUUGGCAGCACAAUCUGAAUCUAUUACCACAUUCUUUUGAUUAGCCUUUUCAGCUGCAGUGUACCAUUUAGAUGGCUUUGGGAUCUUCACAUGGUUGUUAUUCGGGUUAUCCUCUCCUACCAUGGCAUCUUAAGCAACGUUAUUCAACUAAGUUCCACUUCUGAGAGUGAUCACUUUGCAAUGCUCUUUUUCUUGUGAUCUCGAAUUCUCAGUAUCACUUGAAAAAGCUCCUUUUGACCUCAAAUUUAGAGUAUUUGCUAUCUACCCCACUUGAUUCUCAAGAGCUCUGAGGGAUGCAGCUUGACUCUGGAUCACAACAUCAUUUUUGCCCAUAUAUUCCUUCAACAGAGCUUCCAUAGAUGAAGAAGAUGAUGUUGAACUUCGUGGAACAUUUUGUCAUAGCUUGGUUUGAUUAUAACCAAGUGGUGCAUUUGUGGCAUUCUGUCUAACAACAUUGUUGGAGUUCACCACUCAUUUAUUAUUCCAACUAAAGUUUGGAUGUUGCUUCCACCCUGGAUUGUAGGUGUUGGAAUAUGGGUUAUUGUUCUGGUUGAAAUAACCUAUGUAAUACAAAGAGGUUGGGUUUGAUGGGCAUUCAUCAUAAACAUGAUAUUCCCCAUAAUAAACAUAUGAUAGCUCGACUGUUUUCAUCUUCUAAACUACAGUUAGUCUUUUUACUAUUUUGAUCAUAUUAGCUAAAUAUGAUCCUGAGCUGUUUAUGAAAUGAUUGCAUCAAGCUCCAUUGUGCCAGGAACUCUUCUACCAGUCCCCACUCUCAUAGUAAGGUAUUAACAAUCAUUGUUGGCAAUCCAUUCCAAAAUGUAAUACGCUUCAUUAUAUGAUUUAUCCAAUAAAGUACCAUUGGCAGACGCAUCAACUACCAUCAUUGUAUGUGUGUUUAAUCCAUCGUAAAACAUUUCCAUCUGUGUCUAAUGUUAGAAACCAUGCACCGAACAUUUCCUAAGUAAUUCAUUGAAUUGCUCCCAACAUCUCUUCCUCUGAUUGCUGAAAAGAUGUGAUAUUAUUCCUUAACUUGACAUUCAUAUUUGGAGGAUUUUAUCAUAGAAAAAACCUUUGACAAAAAUCAUUCCAAGAUGCCACCAUCCCUGACGGUAAAGCACUCAACCAUGCUCUGGCACGAUCUCUUAAUGAAUACGGAAAUAGUUUAAGUUACAUGGCGUCUUCAGGAACACCCUAUUGAUUGAAUGAGUCACAAACUUCCAAUAAAACUCUUAAGUGCAGUCGUGGAUCUCUAGUAGGCAAUCCACUUAACUAUCAUACCAUUUGUAGCAUCUGAAACAUUACCAAUUUUAACUAGAAAUGCUAAGCUUUAAUGUGUGGCCUGACUAUUCCUGGAUUCAAAUCAUCCAAAAUUGGCACAACAUGCUCUCAAAUGGGUCUAUCUCUAUCAUCCAUCACACGAAGGAUAGGUAAAUCAGCAUCCCAACCAUUCAGUUGUAAUGGAUCUUCCCUACUUGCAUCAUUUCCAAUCCUAGCCAUAUCUUGCAAUUCUCGUCUCAUUCUUCUCAAAGUUCUCUUGAUUUUUGGGUCAAAAGGAUACUCUUCGUUAAUAGGAAUGCCUCUACUCAUACACUAACAACAAAGUUAAAUAAAACUAAUUGAAUUAUAUAAGAAAAAAAACAAAACCAAAUUUUAACAAAUUGUCGAUCCCCAGCAACGGAGCCAAAAACUUGUCACGUGUGAAUAUAAUGUGUGAAUGUGCAAGUCUACACAUCGAAUCAAGUAAUAAAGUAGUAAGUAAGAUCAUCUCCUCAGGGAACAAAUAGGAUUAAUUAGGUUAAGCUAUUACUAUAAACUAUAUGAAUCAGGCUAUGACAAAACAGAAUAACAAUUUGUAGAGGAAUAAUCACAUAUGCAAUAUUAAAAUCAAAUAACUAACUUAAAAUGUUGUGGCAAAGAUACGAAAACAAAGUUCAGAGAAUCUACGUUGUUGAAUAGGACCAUUGAGAUUACUAAGAUUCUUUCCUCAUAACACAAUAAUGCCAUGGCAAAAUCUUAACCAAUCAACUAUUCAGAAUAAAUCUAAGGUAGUCUGCUUAUAUUGAGUGUCAGACUUCAAGCUACCCUACCUAAGACUUUGCAUGUCUACAAGCCUCAAGAAGGAUACCCAGCACUGUUUCUUCCUUUCUCUAUACAGAGCGCAGCUCUAUGUCUAGAGUGCUACGAGUAUUCUUUCCAAUAUUGCUUGUAUCAUUCGAUCACAAUCCAACUCAUCUAACCUUUUCAGAAUUAAAUCAAGUUUAUGGACAUACCAUACAUUCAUCUAUGACUAGAGACUGCAUACAUACAUUUUAAAAUAGCGCAAAUCGAAUGAAACAAUAAAUCUAAUCAGGAUAAUGCCUUGGUCAUUAAAGAAACUAAAGAUUCAUCCAGUAAUCCCAACCUGAUAAGAUUAGCUCAUCAGUUGGAAAUUAAAAUCGAAACUAAAAGUAUCAUUCAUCAACAUAUUUUCACAAUUAAAAUUCAUAGAAAUCAAUUAAGAUAAUGAAGGAAGAACUUCAGGAAACUUUCACUAAUCCAGCCCUCAACUCCAGUGUUGCAAUAUCUUGCGAAGCACAGGGUUGAAUGCUUCUCUUUCUUCCUUGUGUUGUGGCUUUGUUCCUUAGCUGCUACCUUAUUUCCUUGUGUCUCUGGAUCUCCCAAUAGAAAUUGUAUGAGAGGAAAAAUUGCCUCCCUCCUCUUUUUCUCUUUCUUCUUUUUAUAGGGUAAGUCCUCUUCUUAGCACACACUCUUUUCUCCCUUUUUUAACUGGAUAUUUCUAGUACAAGUACAGUUGGCUGAGAGUGGCACAGAUUGACAUCUAAGUCAGCAUCUUCCUGGAAUUGCCAUGCCAUUUGUGCUAGAAAUCUAUCCAACCAUUUUUCAUGACAAAACUUCUCUCAUUCACUUAUUUCCUCCUUUCUGCACCUGUUAUAAACAACACGCAAUUUCUUUCCUCCUACAACUAAAAGUAACAUAUAGUAACAUUGAAAACACAAUUCAAGCUUCAUAAUGGAAUGUUAUAAAAAUAUUAAUAUAAUUUCCUAAAAUGCAAAUAAAUUUACUCAAGCACGAACAAUUAACCAAGUCUAGAGGCCUGAAAUAUAACUUUUUUCAAUAGUUAUCAGCAACCUCAUCAAUUUCUCGAGAAAAUAUCUAAAAAUUCUUUAACUGUCCAAAUAUCCCCAACAUACGAUUCCACAAAACCAAGUCUUGCACAUAAGCCAAAAAUGUCUCACACCCUUUCCGAACUAACUUUUCGGCUACAAGAGCGGAUAUCACAUUGGAGAGGUAAUCUUGACGCUCGCCGAUCAUGAUAAUCUCCAUAUCAUCCUCAGAUCUCAGAAUUACCCUCUUAGUAGCACAAUCUAAGUUAACUCGAUGCUUCACGAGCUAGUCCAUUCCCACUAUCAAAUCAAACUCUUCGAACGGUAACUCUAUCAAAUUAGCCAAAAACACAACACCUUAUAUCUCCAGUGGACACCUUCUAUAACCCUUAUUAACCCGUACCAUCUGACCCAGUGGACUACUGACAGAAACCUCACCAGAAGUACUCUCAACAAGAAUUCCCAAAUUUAUAAAAACAAUACUAGAUAUGUAUGAGUGAGUAAAGUCAAUAUCUAUCGGUGUAAAAUAUGGAACAAAAUUAAUAUAGAAUGUACCAUCUAUCACAUUAACGGUGCCGUACCGCGUACACCAAAGCAGGCUACCUAGCCUCAGUUUGAUUUGCACCUCUGCCCCCCAUUCCUCUCUGAACCUACCAAACCAUUACCACCUCUGGCCUGCCCACGUCCCCGAGGUGGCUGCUGAACUGCCCUCUAAGGCUGAACCAAACCCGGAGCUUGAGCUUGCACCUAACUAGAGCAGAGCAGCCAAUCCCUAAUACGGUGCUCCACAGACCUGCAUCGUAGACAAGCUCCCAAUCUCCUCCAACACUCGCCCGGAUGGCGCCUAUCACAAUCUCAACAACUAAGUCUCAAAAAAUAGUAAUUGGUGCCUCAAUCCAUAAAGGCCAAUCGAACCUAACCUGUUUCUUAGGCCACUGAACAGAGCUAGAAGGACCCAAAUCCCUCUGAUUUUUACUCUGGCCCCUCUCUUUCUCUCUCUUUCCGCACUCCACGCGCUUAAUAUCCUCAGUAAUCUCAGCCUUCUCCACUAGAGUUUCAAAGACUCGCUCCCUCUAUGGAGCCAUCAAUACCUUAAUAUCAUACCUCAAUUCCUUCUCAAAUCAAAUACUCUUAUCAUAGUCAGUCUCUACUAACGCACGAGCAUAUCUGCUUAGGCUAAAAAAUCUGGCUUCAUACUCGGCUAAAAUCCUAUCUCCCUGAGUUAAGCUCAUAAACUUGCAUCUACAAGCCUCUACAUAACUCGCCCUCACGUACUUGUAUUGGAAGGCAUUUGGGAAAUAAUACCAAGUUACCGAUUCGGGUUGAGUACCCUCCUUAAUGGUCAGCCACCACUAGUAGGCUUCAUAGCGAAGCAAUGAUGCUGUAACCUUUAGUUUCUGCUCAGGAGUGCAGUCUAUAUCAUUCAUAAUCUUUUCUGUGGCCGCCAACCAAUACUCGGCCACAGUUAGGCCGACCCUAGUGACACCCCUAAAUAACUCUUCUCUAUUAGACCAGAGUCGUUCAGUUACCGACCCUCGGCUCCCAAAUUCAGAAUGGGUUCCAUCGACCCUCUUAAGAACUCUUAACAUGGCUUGGGACAAUGUGUUGUCCCCAUUCGUCUAAGUCUGAUACCUUACCUCAGCAGUAGGCGUACCCAUAGUCUCGCUCAUAUCCAAAUUAGGCAUACUACCUAUCAAGGAUGGCUCAACACGAGCCCCUCUUUCAUGCCCACCACGCCCACGGGUACCUCGUCCAUGAGUACCUCAUCCACGAGUUCUAGGCAUACUCAUUGUAAAUUAUCUUCAUUUUAAGAUUUUUGUGUAUUGGUUUAGGAGUUUGUUAUCAAAUAUUUUAUGUCCAAAAUUUUAUCAAAAAAUUUUUCAGAGUUUGUUACUGUCUUUAACCACAACAGAGUGAUUCUAAUACCAUAAUUGUUUUCUAAAACAAAAUUUUAGCGAAGACAGAAGGAAGAGACUCGGUAUUCUUUAAACUCAUUUAUCAGAUUUAAACAAAAAUAUAUUUUGUUCGAAAAAUACUUUUCACAAAAGAAAAUUUGAACCCAAAAUCACAGAGUAAGUUUUGAACCUGGCUCUGAUACCAUAAAAUGUAACACUCAAAACCUAACCUAGACUUUAUGGCCAAAUCUAGAGAAGUUACCAUGAUUCACUUUGAAAAUUCAGGAAUCAUUUUAGCGUGUAGAAAAUUACAAGCUUUUGAUAACACAAUUCCAGUUUAUCUUAAAUGACAACAUCUUCCUUACUUAAUUUUUUAAUUAUUUCGAUAAAAACAUAUUUAUAAAAACACUUAUAAUGGCAGCAAAACUCUUAGCUAAAUUCAGUUUGAAAAUCGUAGUUUCAAUUUUUAAAAUCCAAAGUUUUGUUGAUAGUGAUGUUAAAAUUUUAAAAAUGAUUAAAUAGUUUAAAACAUAAAAUUGAAAGUCCAAAACAAAAAUAGUUCCAAAUGUCCGAAACAGUCCAACAGAACCAAAACAAAAUGAACUAACUUUUUAAGUAACACAAAUUAUCUAUGUUUAACCGAGCUCCCAUCACACCGACUCAUCCUAUGUCUGAGAGUUACCUAAGAGUCAAACAAAUAGAGAAUGAGCUUACAAGCUCAAUAUGUAACUUAUAAUAAUAACAACAUAUACGAGUUCAGACAUACGUUCGGAUUUCAAACAGACAUAUUUCACAAACAAAAACAGAAUCAAAACACAUCAAAUAUAGAUUUUAAAUCCUACCCCAUCUGCUACACAUCAUCUCUGACCAUCCCUACACACCAUAUAGGGUAUUAAACCCAUCCAGCCCUACACACCACUAAGUGACUGUAGGUCACUUUUCAGAAUAUUUGUAGCCUAACUGCCAGAUCAUUAAGCAGUAAUUCGCCAGAAUCAUAUAUAUAUUUGGCUAAGCCACCAAAUACGUCAAAUAGAUUAAACCGCCCACACUUCCUCCAUAAACAUAUUUCCCACCCCAAUGAGCAUGCAGAACUAACAGGUAUCAUAAAUGUAUAUGAUAUACAUGCUUUAUAUACCUAAUUCAGACCAUACUUAGCAAAUAACAUAUUAUACUUAACAUAAUAUGGAUCAUACUUAACAUAAUACAGAUCAUUCUUAGCAUAUAACUUAUUAAUCAUGUGUACAUAAAUCGUAUUUAACAUUAACAGAACAUCAGAUAUCAUGAUUUAUAGCCUAAUUUGUAUCAUACGGACCCUACGGAAGGCCUACGUCUGACUUGUACGACGAAUACGACCCUAGAACACAUUUUAAAAUUUGGGCCCAUAUGCCCGUACGGCCCACACAGUCUACUUGGCCAACCUAUGUGGCCCACAGGGUCUUAUACAUGCCCGUGUGGCCGACACGACCUACUUGGCCAACCCGUGUGGACUACACGUCACCCACGUCCAUAUGACCCACACGGCCCAAUUGAUCGAGAUGAUCUAGCACACGGUUUGUCAUGCUGUUAUGUGUUGCACACAGCUUGGCACACGACCGUGUGGCAUAGAUAGUCUAUUUUUUGGCUUUCAACCAUUCGCGAGUUUUCAGGUUUUCGUUACGCACCUAGUCAUUUUCAAUGUGGACCCAAGGACGAAUACUUUAGUACCUAAAACGACCAUUCAUAUGAAUUAAUUAACUUAAUUUUACAAAAAUUGAGUGCUAAAUCAUGACCCAACAAUGUCAAUCAAACUUCAAUACAGAGAACUCAACCUCAAACAGCGAUGAAUACGGUCACUUACCCUCAAGAACAAGCAGCGACAACAACGAGAGGAUAAUCAAUAAACUAAGACCCCAUCGUAAAUGAGCAUAAAGAAAGGAAAGAAAGGAAAAGCUUAAAAGAAAAGAUGAGCAUGACUUGAGAGAAAACAGAAAAAAAAAGAAAAAAAAUGGCAGGAGUAGAGAGAUGUGGGAGCAAAAAUUUAGGGAGAAGUUAGGGGAAAAUCUAAUUAAUUUUAAAACAACCCAAAUCUAAUCCUACUAACCACUAAUCAAAUUUCUGGUAACUAACCGCAUUAUCCAAAGUUUGAAAUUGAUCCAAACUCAUCCACCUAUGUGACCCAAGCAAAAAUAACAAAAAAAUAUUAUCAAUUUUCGAACACAUGACCAUACGAUAAACUAACACCUUACCACUAAACCAACAAGCUCAUAUGUCACAAGUUCAACGAAAAUAAUUUUAAGCCAAAUAAACAAGGAUAGAGUUAAGAGAAACAAUAACUUAAUUUUUCCAAAAAAAAAAAUUUUGAACCCAUGACCUCAAGCACACAUUUAAGGCCCUUAUCCACUAAAGCACACACUUAAUUAUGAUAGAAUUUAACAAAUUAGAAAUUCAAAUUUUCGAGGCGUUACAAGAAGUGUCUGUAGAAGUGGGUAUUUCUGCAAAAAUUAUGACAAAAACAAUGAAAACAAGAGACAGUAAAGUUGUUUAUGCAGUUUAGUUUUCCUAUAUCUGUAAAGUCUAGCUCAAUGAGAUGAAUCCACUAUCUUUGAAGCAAAUACAAGUGAUCCUAGUUCUAACACAACUUAAUGAAAAAUCUUUACUUUUGUAUCUCAAAGACUAGAUCUCUCACCACUAAAUUAUUCCACUAAAAACUUAGGUUGUAAAACCAAUCACAAAUAGGUUUUACAAUAUAUAUAUGUGCUUUCACAAAUACCAAAACCUUACUUAAAUAGAUAAGUGCUCUCAAUCAAUCACUUUCAUAACCUAUACAAGUCUCUCAAUUAUAUAAAGUUUUCUAGACUUGAAAACAUAAUGAAAAUCAAUUACAAUCCCUUCUAAACAGUAGUUAUAUUAGCUAAAUAUAAUAUAAUACUCAAUAACCAAAGUAAAAUGGACCAUUCGCAAAUAAGUCUUCAAGUUUCGGUCCAGUCCAACUUCCUUCAUCCAAAGGAUUCGACAUAUACGAUUCAAUCCUUCAAAUAUGUUUCUUCACAUGAAUUAAACUUCAUUGAUCAGCUUGAAUCAUUCCACGAUAUCAGCACAACUCAAAAAUCUGGUUCAAUAAACUGUCAAUAUUCCAAAUAUUGCAAGUUAUUAUUUUGUCAUAAUGGUAAAGGAAGUGGGUACUUCCCUUAACACAUUGCAACAACUUCAAAUAUUUUAACAAACACAUUAAAAUAUAGAAAUACCCAUAUGUAUUAAUAUAAAAAAUAAAACAAUAUGCUAAUAACUUUGAUAUAAGGCGAAGCAAGAAUAGUUUGGCAAGAGCAUGGUUGUGUGUGGCUUGAUUCAGUUUUUUCUUUUUCUAGGAUUUUUUAAGUCAUAUGUGAUAAUACGGUUUGAUUCAAUUCUUGAUAUUUUCAUAUUAUUUUGGGUUUGAAUUUUUGGAUUUUAUUUGACAAAAUGAGCUUUCUUUUAUAGCUUUUGAACAUUAUUUGACAAAAUUUUAAUUUCUUUUCAUAAAUAUUUUUAAAAAAACUAAUUAAUUAAGUAAAAAAUAAUCAAUAACUUUUAAAAAAAGUAUAUAUUAUUUUUUUAAUUAUUUUAAAUAUAAAAUAUCUAUUUUUAACUUAUAUAAAAUUUAAAUUAAUUACAAAUUAAUAAAAAAAUAAAAUUCAAUUGAUUUUGUAAUUUGUGAAUGAAAAUCAUGUAAAACACCAAAAUUGAGAUCGAUUUUUGGGAUUUUCAAAAAUAAAUAAAUAAAAUUCUCUGCAUUAGGCUAGAGUGUUGACAAUAGUAAAUCCAAAAUGUUUCUGGGUUGUUAGUGGAGAUCUAUUGUUGGUUUGGGUGCCCAUUAAUUUUAUGUGGCAAGUAGUUGAAAGGCUCGUUGCUUUUACAUGUGCUGCCUUUACAAGGCGACUUGACAAUAGAUGUAUGUGAGCAUUUGGAUCCUUGGGCCUUUAUCCUAUGUGAGAGGGAUUUAACACCUUAUAUGGUGUUGACUGUUGAAGCAUUUCAUCGGUUUUAAUAAUUGGGGUUGGAAUUGUUCAUAAUAUGUUUGUAAUUUGCAGCACUAUCUGAUGUUUUUAUUAAGACUCUCUUCGUAGCAUCUUGUGUUUGAAACAAGAAUGAAGUGGUCUUUUUCCAACAUUAAAUUACAAUGCAACACUUUCCCUCCCUUAUAAAUACGCCUCUAAUUUUAUCAAAAUAAUUAAUUUUGUCUUUUCAACCCUCAAACUUGGUAGAUUGCCACGUAUACGACAUGUUAUCAUUUAAUUAUUAUUUUUAAUUUUAAAAUAUAUAUUUUUAAUAAUUUUUAAAAUUUUAAAUUUUAAAAAAAUUAAUUAAAUGAUGACAUGUCAUCUAUGUGGCAAUCCACUUGCAUGCCACGUUAAAAAAGUUAAAAAUAUUUUUCAUCUAUUUUAAAAUGAUUUAACAAAAAAUAUAAAUUUAAGAGCUAGAUAAAAAUUUAAAUAGAAAACUAUAACGAGUUCUAAAUAUUUAAUUGUUUAAGUCCACCAAGCACUGCCCAAUCACGAAAAGAGAAGAAGGAAAAAAAUUAUUAAAACAUAAUAGUUUAACUCACAAUCAAUUCAUUAAUGGGAAAGUUAAUAAAUAAAAUAGGAAAUGAAUACAUGAUUGAAUAAUUAUUUACAAGGAAGAUGUUUAGAAUGAGAUUUUUGGGCAGUGAAUUCUUUGAUAUACCCUUGUAAUAGUUUGAAAUUAAAAAUAAAAUACGAUUCACUCUAGUCUAAAAAUGAAUGUAUUGAGAUUGUAUUACCAACCCCAAUUCUCUCUUAUCUUUAUCUCUCAAUUGCCUCAUCUCUCUCGCCGAUAAUCUUAUUUUCCCCACUCCAUUUAUUAUUGUUUACCAUCAUCCAUGUAAUUGUUUCUUACUUUUCCUUUUCAAGAGGCUCAACCUCUUCAUUUUACCAUCUUCUUCUUUCGUUCUUUCUCUCUCCGGAAAAUUCAAGUCUCCAUCAUCCUUUACAGAUAUUCAAGAAUGAAUCUACAAAAGAAAAAGAGGGAGAAGCUCUAUGUUAUUUUCCGGGGGAAGAAACCUAGCAUCUACCACUCAUGGAAGGAGUGUGCAUCGCUAGUUAUUGGCUUUAAGGGGAACAUGUACAAGUCAUUCAAAUAUAAGAAUGAUGUAGUUAAAGCCUUGAAGAGGUUUGAAAACUCUAGUGUUAUACUUCUUUCCUCAUCUAUGCAGAAUCCCACAUGUCAAGAACAUGGUACUCGAGUUCUAUGCUAAUUUUUAGAAGACAAUAACUGAUAAUGAUGAUGAGCACUAUAUAAAGGCCUAUGUGCAUGAGCAUAACUUCUCCUUCAACCCCAUUGACAUCAAUAAUUCUUACCCCAUAGAAGAGAAGAUAAUGAUGAUAAUUUGUUCUAAACUAUUAAUCUUACUGCACAACUAACAACAUCAGGACCACAUGGCUUGAAGGUUAAGACUUUAUGAAUUCUAAAUUGGAACCAAAUGAUGCCACCCUUCAAACAAUUAUAACCAUGAUCUGGUUUCCAUCAAAACAAGGCAUGUGUGCUAACAAAUG